GUUGGUGAUAAAGCUGCAAUGGGUAAAUUGGUGAAAGACUCAGAAAGACAGACAGACAUACAGACACAGAGAGACAGACAGCCAGCCAGGUAGACAGACAAACCAUAAACCUAACCCUAAACUAACCCUACUUCAUGUCCACAUACCUGGGGUAAGUUGUGCCGAGAGACCACUUUAUUUGGACAAGAUAUGUUUUGAAAACUGUAAUGUUUUCAGAUUAUUUCCAGGGAUACACAACAUCCUGAAAAAUAUGUAAAUAUCUUUGUAUACUAUAAUACUAUGUUUCCCUUGAUGGAGAAAAGCUGAAUGUAAAAAAUGUGCUCAACUUACCCCACUCUCACUUACACUGAAAAUAACAUUUGGGUUGGGUUCGGGACCAGUUCUUGCGGAACUGCGGUUAGGUUCGGGACCACUUCUUGCAGGACUGCGGGUGGGUUCGGGACCAUUUCUUGCAGGACUGCGGUUGGGUUCGGGACCAGUUCUUGCAGGAGCAGAUGGGAGUCUGACAAAAAGCCAGUGGGGGUGAGCUGGUACGGUAUGAAAAGCUGCUUGUGUGGUUGGGUGGGAGCGGGAUGAAGAAAUCAGUCCUGUGCAGACCUCUAGCUCUACUGUUAGCCAGAUAGCUAGUUAUAACUAGCUGGCUAGAAGGAUGAAGUCAGAAGCUAAUGUUUAACAGAGCCUGACCUCAGCAGGAGGAGUCAACUGAAAUUAAACUAGCUAUAAUCUUAACUAAAGAUAUGCUAUUAGAAGUUCUCAUAACAAAAUAACUUUGCUUUACAGAGAGCAGUGAGGCAGACAGUGGUGAGGCCGACCGCAAUGCAGACACACAGACAGAGACAGCAAGCAGAGAGAUUGGGGUCCCCUGAAAUUGAGAAUGUUUCAUCUUAUCAAACACAUUGUUUAUCAUCAAAUGGCUUUAGAAUACAUAUAUUUUUUUAUUCAACAAGGCAAGUCAGUUAAGAACACAUUUUUAUUUACAAUGACGGCCUACACCAGACAAACCUGACGACACUGGGCCAAUUGUGCUCCGCUCUAUGGGACUCCCUAUCACAGCCGGUUGUGAUACAGCCUGGAUUUGAACUAGGGUGUCUGCAGUGACACCUCUAGCACUGAGAUGCAGUGCCUUAGACCGCUGCACCACUCAGGAGCCACAUACAACAUUUUUUGAGUCAACUACGGUCCUUUUACAAUGCUAGAAUGCACUUGCUUGUCAUUAUGUGUUGGGACAGCCCGUGGGACCUAAAAUGUAAUAAAUUAAAUAGACAAUUUAAUAUUAUUCUCAUGUAUUUGAAAAUCUAUUGUUAAAACUGCUUUGCAGAGAGUAGUGAGACAGACAGUGAUGAGGCGGAGGCAGGCUGCAAUUCAGGAGGAGGUGGAGGAGACAGACAGACAUCGAUGAGGCGGAGGCAGGCUGCAAUUCAGGAGGAGGUGGAGGAGACAGACAGUGAUGAGGCUGAGGCAGGCUGCAAUUCAAGAGGAGGUGGAGGAGACAGACAGUGAUGAGGCGGAGGCAGGCUGCAAUUCAGGAGGAGGUGGAGGAGACAGACAGUGAUGAGGCUGAGGCAGGCUGCAAUUCAGGAGGAGGUGGAGGAGACAGACAGUGAUGAGGCUGAGGCAGGCUGCAAUUCAGGAGGAGGUGGAGGAGACCGACAGUGAUAAGGCUGAGGCAGGCUGCAAUUCAGGAGGAGGUGGAGGAGACAGACAGUGAUGAGGCGGAGGCAGGCUGCAAUUCAGGAGUAGGUGGAGAAGACAGACAGUAAUGAGGCGGAGGCAGGCUGCAAUUCAGGAGGAGGUGGAGGAGACAGACAGUGAUGAAGUGGAGGCAGGCUGCAAUUCAGGAGGAGUUGUUUCGGUUUAUAUUGGUGUUUGUUCGUCUUAUCUCGAUCGUCCAGUGGAGUUUAUAGUUUAACAACCUUUUUUUUUUUACCACUGGUAUCACUGGUGACCUUUUAAGAAAGCCCUGUGUCGAGGUUCAGCUUAAUUUGGCAGGAGUGACUUAAUUCAUCCUCAACAUGGUGCUCCAUUCUCUCCCUGCGAAAACACAUUUCCAUCAUCUGAAUUGUUAGUGUCCCCAGGAGGCCGUACAUUGACUUUCAGGUUCCUGUGAUUACAGGAAGUGUCUUAAUUGGGGGUCAUAGGGGCGGUUUUGAAGGAUUAUAAAAGUUAAAUCAACCCAAAAGCAUUUUUGACCUCUAUUGGACAUAAUGGUCUUGCAGUUCAAGAAAUUAAAAUUACCUGGCUACCCAGACUCCUCACUCCGGCCAAACGCCCACGAACGUUAUUUUCUUCUUCGCAAUGAGUCUGGAUCUGAGUACCUCCGUUGGGAGGCAGUCUCAGACUAACGAAUGUAGCAAACGACAGAGCAGCAGAAUCAUUUAGUGUGAGUCGUUAGGCUUAAAAAUUGUUAGAAUGAAUUCUGAAGAGCAUGAUGGUCACAUUUUUAUAUAUUUACUUGAAACUGUCUGUCUGUCUGCCUGUGCAUGUCUUGCUGUCUGUCUGUCUUUCUGCCUGCCUACAGCUCUCUGUCUGCCUGCCUGCCUGCCUGCCUGCCUGUCUGGUUCUCGGAAUAUCUUUCUUUGAGUGUCUGUUUGUCUGUCUGAGUCUUUCACCAAUUUACCCAUUGCAGCUGUAUCACCAACCUUUUCGCCUUGGAAGCAAUGUAUUGACUUAUGCGCCAAUGCCCUGUCUGUGAAGAUGGGAGAGAGGAGGAAGAGAAAGGAAGGAG
Long non-coding RNA from Oncorhynchus tshawytscha (Chinook salmon), 2725 nucleotides. The record is from Ensembl. NCBI's taxonomy places the organism in Eukaryota, Metazoa, Chordata, Actinopteri, Salmoniformes, Salmonidae.